AGGGCACCACCAGGAGUGGAGCCUGCGGCUUAAUUUGACUCAACACGGGAAAACUCACCCGGCCCGGACACCGUAAGGAUUGACAGACUGAGAGCUCUUUCUUAAUUCGGUGGGUGGUGGUGCAUGGCCGUUCUUAGUUGGUGGAGCGAUUUGUCUGGUUAAUUCCGAUAACGAACGAGACUCUGGCCUAUUAAAUAGUCGGUAUAUCCAGAAAGGUUUACCGUACUUCUUAGAGGGACAAACGGCGUCUAGCCGCGUGAAAUAGAGCAAUAACAGGUCUGUGAUGCCCUUAGAUGUCCGGGGCUGCACGCGCGCUACACUGAAAGAAUCAGUAUGCGCUUUAACCUAGUCCGGAAGGAUUGGGUAACCCGAGCAAAUUCUUUCGUGCUUGGGAUAGGGAAUUGCAAUUAUUUCCCUUAAACGAGGAAUUCCCAGUAAAUGCGGGUCAUAAGCUCGCGUUGAUUACGUCCCUGCCCUUUGUACACACCGCCCGUCGCUACUACCGAUUGGAUGACUUAG
Molecule: ribosomal RNA, 519 nt
Filed under: uncultured eukaryote
Lineage: Eukaryota
Description: SSU rRNA
Rfam family: Eukaryotic small subunit ribosomal RNA
Source: RNAcentral